GUUCCAGCAGCUGGCUUGGUGCUCCUCUCCGCUGCCUGCCAUGGCCCGGGGGCUGCCCAGCGCCGCCAGCCUGGCACGCUUCUGCCAGAAGCUGAACCGCCUGAAGCCACUGGAGGAGUCCGCCAUGGAGACGUCCCUGCGGCGCUGCCUGUCCACGCUGGACCUGACCCUGCUGGGCGUUGGCGGCAUGGUGGGCUCGGGCCUCUACGUGCUCACAGGCACCGUGGCCAAGACCAUGGCCGGCCCUGCCGUGCUCUUGUCCUUCGGCAUAGCCGCCGUGGCCUCCCUCCUGGCGGCCCUGUGCUAUGCAGAGUUUGGGGCGCGUGUGCCCCGCACAGGCUCUGCCUACCUGUUCACCUACGUGUCCAUGGGCGAGCUGUGGGCCUUCCUCAUUGGCUGGAACGUGCUCCUCGAAUACCUCAUUGGCGGCGCCGCUGUGGCCCGAGCCUGGAGCGGCUACCUGGAUUCCAUCUUCGGGCACAGCAUCCGCAACUUCACUCAGGCCCACGUGGGGGUCUGGCAGGUGCCCCUCCUGGGCCACUACCCAGACUUCCUGGCCGCCGGCAUCCUCCUUCUGGCCUCUGCCUUUGUCUCCUGCGGAGCUCGCGUCUCCUCCUGGCUCAACCACACCUUCUCCAUCAUUAGCCUGCUCGUCAUCCUCUUCAUCAUCAUCCUGGGCUUCACCCUGGCCCAGCCUGACAACUGGAGCGCCCGCGAGGGGGGCUUUGCGCCCUUCGGCUUCUCUGGGGUCAUGGCUGGCACCGCCUCCUGCUUCUUUGCCUUCGUGGGCUUUGACGUCAUCGCCGCCUCCAGCGAGGAGGCCCAGAACCCAAGGCGGGCUGUGCCCGUGGCCAUCGCCAUCGCGCUUAGCCUGGCCGCAAGUGCCUACAUCCUGGUCUCCACCGUGCUGACCCUCAUGGUGCCCUGGUACAGCCUGGAGCCGGACUCGGCGCUCGCCGACGCCUUCUACCGGCGGGGCUACCGCUGGGCUGGCUUCAUCGUGGCCACUGGCUCCAUCUGCGCCAUGAACACCGUGCUCCUCAGCAACCUCUUCUCCCUACCACGCAUCGUCUAUGCCAUGGCUGUCGACGGGCUCUUCUUCCAAGUGUUUUCCCAGGUGCAUCCCCGGACGCAGGUGCCUGUGAUUGGCAUCCUGGUGUUCGGGACCCUCAUGGCUCUCCUGGCACUGCUGCUGGACCUUGAGGCGCUGGUCCAGUUCCUGUCCAUUGGCACGCUGCUGGCCUACACCUUUGUGGCCGCCAGCAUCAUUGUGCUGCGCUUCCAGAAGGCUUCUCCACCCAGCUCCCCGGGCCUGGCCAGCCCUGGCCCCCUGUCCAAGGAGCACAGCUCCUUCUCAGACCACCUACAGCUGGUGGGCACUGAGCAGGUGUCAGUCCCCGAGCCUGGGCAGCUGCGACCCGCCCUGAGGCGCUACCUGGGCUUCCUGAGUGGGUGCAGCCCUGGAGCAGCCGUGUCUUGGGCACUCGGCAUCCUGGUCGUCUCAGCCAUCGCCCUGGCCUGUGUGCUGAUCUUCGGGAACUCGGCCCUGCACCUCCCGCAGUGGGGCUAUAUCUUGCUGCUGGUGCUCAGCAGUGCCAUGUUCCUGCUCAGCCUCCUCGUCCUGGGUGCUCACCAGCAACAGCACCGGCAGGACAUGUUUCAGAUCCCCAUGGUGCCCUUGACUCCAGCCCUCAGCAUCUUGCUCAACAUCUGCCUCAUGCUGAAGCUCAGCUACCUGACCUGGGUGCGCUUCUGCAUCUGGCUGCUAAUUGGACUCGCGGUGUAUUUUGGCUACGGCAUCCGGCACAGCAAGCAGAGCCAGCAGGAGGCCCCGGGACCCACCGCCACGAGAUAUGUAGUGUUCCCCAGCGGCAGUCUGGAGGAGACGGUGCAGGCUGUGCAGCCCCCCAGCCAGGCGCCAGCCCUGGUGCCCGCCCCCACGGAGUAGCCAGCCAGCCCUCACUUGCCCUGCCCUCCCCAUCUCCUCAGGAGCCCCUUCUAUCCAGGACAGCUUUGGUUUGCCUCCUCAGUCUGGGGGCCUCAGGACCUUAGAACUUAGCUCAGGCACUGAGCUCAGGUCAUCAGGAGGGAGCCUUGGCCCGUGCCGGUGCGGCGGGCUCAGCCCAGUGCCUUCCCACUUCUGACCAGCUACCUGGGCAGGUGAGGUGGGGUAGGCGGGGAGGCCCCAGCCCUAGGCAUCCACAAUAAUAAUGGCUCAGCCAGCCAUGUGGCCUGCUGCCGUGUCCACUGUGGCAUUCUUUGUGGCACUGAAUCCUCAUCUACCCCUAGGAACUUGUCCCCAAGUACAACUGUCCCCAAUCCACAUCGGAGACCCCAAGACUCUGCAAAGUGGAGGCACCAGCCCUCAGACCACCUUGAGUUAGGGACAUGGCCAGGCCUGGGUCAAGUGUCCUCCACUCAGGCCAAGGCCCCCCACCCAGCUCUGAGGGGCGGUGCACAGCCCUAACACCCCAGGUGAGAAGGGGCCAAUGGCAGGAGUGGCGGUCACGAUCCCCACGCAUUUGCUUCUGGGGCAGAGCCUGGGCCCCGGCGAGGCUGCCUAGAAAUGGCAGUGGGGUUCCAGGUUCUGCUGGGUUUCCCAGGGCUCCCUAAGAGUAUGGCAGGUGCCCAAGGCCUGCCCAGAAAUAUAGACGCACACUGGUACUCAGGCACGCACACCCCUCCAGACAUGCACCCACAAGGCCCGCACGGACCACCCUAGGGGUACACGCCAUGCAGAUGGAGGCCAUAGGUGUUUCCAAGCUCAGGCUCCGGCCUCGGCUCUCUGGCUACCACAGCUCACUGUUUUGCUGCUUCCUCUGCUCUCUCUUUAAGGGCUGUGAGAUAAAGGCUCGAGAUGCUGCACGCGCAUGUGGUACUCACGCCCCCGUGGGGGUGCACAGUACUGGGCUUGCUCCAGCCUACCUGGAGCUCAGGGGCCAGGAAAGCCCCAGGCCCGCCCUGUGCCACCCCACUGGUCUCCCAAGGCUGUGCCGUGUCCACCACAGAAGCCUCCCUCUUCCCGUUCCUGCCUGUAAGGACUACACGGGAAGCCACCGGCUUUCUUGGCUUUACUUGACUUCUCCAGCUGUGACAUCAGCUUUCUCUAGGCCCCAAGGACAACCAGGGUGCCAAGGCAUGCAUCGUCUGGGGGACCCAGGCCGACAUCUGAAGCCAGAGGGAGCCCACAGUGCAGACUCACCACACCCAGCCACGCUGCCCCGGUACCCAGAGUGAUGGCCGUCGGGAUGAGCCCGAACUUCCCUGCCUGGGAGAGACCUGGGCUGAGCCCCUUGGGCCACGCGUGCUGCUCCAUGUCCCUCCCACCCCCGGCCAGACCCCUACCUCCCCAGUGACGAGGAUGUCGAAGCGGAUCCCAUAGAGCUUGAGCAGGCUCCGGGCCUCCACGCCGGGGGCCUGCCACCAGUGUGUGGCCAUCCUGGGGGCAGAAGAGGGCUCUGGUGGCCUGCUCUGCCCCGCCCCCCGGCUGGGCUGGGCUGCUGGCUCCGUAAACCCCAGCCCAAACCCGAGUCCUGGGUCUGGGCUCUUUGUCAUUGCUGAGCAAACAGGGAAAGGAAGCUGAGACCUGCCUCUCAGGCACUCCCUGACUGCUGAGGGGACAGGGGGACAGAAGGGUCCCUAAGAGACACCACCGUGGGGGAUUGAAGGAGAAGGAGAGGGCAGGCCAAAGCCUGUGAGAACACAGAAGCAGUAGCUCACUGUCUCCUGGGAACUGGGCAGGCUUCCUCGGGGGAGACACUGGAAGGUGUGCAGGCAGGUGGUUUGCCAGCUUGGUGGUGGGGUGAGGCGAGAGGCAGGGGGAGAGGACACAGGCAAGAGCCAGCCCCACAUGGUCUCGAGAGGCUGGGGAGGUCAGGGAAGCCAGACGAAUCCAGGGGUCUCCUUAGAAGACUCAAAGUCAUGACAAUAAAUGCAGUUUAAGAUC
Non-coding RNA from Microcebus murinus (gray mouse lemur), 3946 nucleotides. NCBI's taxonomy places the organism in Eukaryota, Metazoa, Chordata, Mammalia, Primates, Cheirogaleidae. The record is from RefSeq and is a predicted model, not a curated record.